GACGAACGCUGGCGGCGUGCUUAACACAUGCAAGUCGAACGGAAAGGCCCUGCUUUUGUGGGGUGCUCGAGUGGCGAACGGGUGAGUAACACGUGAGUAACCUGCCCUUGACUUUGGGAUAACUUCAGGAAACUGGGGCUAAUACCGGAUAGGAGCUCCUGCUGCAUUGUGGGGGUUGGAAAGUUUCGGCGGUUGGGGAUGGACUCGCGGCUUAUCAGCUUGUUGGUGGGGUAGUGGCUUACCAAGGCUUUGACGGGUAGCCGGCCUGAGAGGGUGACCGGCCACAUUGGGACUGAGAUACGGCCCAGACUCCUACGGGAGGCAGCAGUGGGGAAUAUUGCACAAUGGGCGGAAGCCUGAUGCAGCAACGCCGCGUGCGGGAUGACGGCCUUCGGGUUGUAAACCGCUUUCGCCGGUGACGAAGCGUGAGUGACGGUAAUGGGUAAAGAAGCACCGGCUAACUACGUG
RNAcentral lists this ribosomal RNA (468 nucleotides) under uncultured bacterium. RNAcentral's name for it is "partial 16S ribosomal RNA". It matches the Rfam family "Bacterial small subunit ribosomal RNA", at positions 28 to 507 of the family's 1533-position model. The record is from RNAcentral.